RNAcentral lists this ribosomal RNA (436 nucleotides) under uncultured bacterium. Its description in RNAcentral is "partial 16S ribosomal RNA". It matches the Rfam family "Bacterial small subunit ribosomal RNA", at positions 27 to 507 of the family's 1533-position model. The record is from RNAcentral.
GAGCGAACGCUGGCGGCAGGCUUAACACAUGCAAGUCGAGCGGGCAUCUUCGGAUGUCAGCGGCAGACGGGUGAGUAACACGUGGGAACGUACCCUUCGGUUCGGAACAACUCUGGGAAACUGGAGCUAAUACCGGAUACGCCCUUAUGGGGAAAGGUUUACUGCCGAAGGAUCGGCCCGCGUCUGAUUAGCUAGUUGGUGGGGUAACGGCCUACCAAGGCGACGAUCAGUAGCUGGUCUGAGAGGAUGAUCAGCCACACUGGGACUGAGGCACGGCCCAGACUCCUACGGGAGGCAGCAGUGGGGAAUAUUGGACAAUGGGCGCAAGCCUGAUCCAGCCAUGCCGCGUGAGUGAUGAAGGCCUUAGGGUUGUAAAGCUCUUUUGUCCGGGACGAUAAUGACGGUACCGGAAGAAUAAGCCCCGGCUAACUUCGUA